This 253-nucleotide ribosomal RNA is filed under the name uncultured bacterium. RNAcentral describes it as "partial 16S ribosomal RNA". It matches the Rfam family "Bacterial small subunit ribosomal RNA", at positions 524 to 776 of the family's 1533-position model. The record is from RNAcentral.
UACGAAGGGGGCUAGCGUUGCUCGGAAUCACUGGGCGUAAAGCGCACGUAGGCGGCUUCUUAAGUCAGGGGUGAAAUCCUGGAGCUCAACUCCAGAACUGCCUUUGAUACUGGGAGUCUCGAGUCCGGGAGAGGUGAGUGGAACUGCGAGUGUAGAGGUGAAAUUCGUAGAUAUUCGCAAGAACACCAGUGGCGAAGGCGGCUCACUGGCCCGGUACUGACGCUGAGGUGCGAAAGCGUGGGGAGCAAACAGG